Sinocyclocheilus anshuiensis is the source of this 303-nucleotide long non-coding RNA. RefSeq lists it as uncharacterized. The record is from RefSeq and is a predicted model, not a curated record. The transcript is spliced from 3 exons. Lineage: Eukaryota; Metazoa; Chordata; Actinopteri; Cypriniformes; Cyprinidae.
AAGCAGCUUAGAAGAUCAUGCCGUAAUGCCCACAUCGAUCCAGCCAAAGAGGAUUGUCAGAAGAAAAAGCCUUGUUGAAAAGCUUUGAGAGGAACCAGAAUCAGCCAAUCCUUCUCUGUGCUGUUCCUGAAGUUCUGUUCCUGACUGAAUUGCAGUGAGAAAGACAGGGACACCGGCAUGGAUCAAACCAGCAGUCGGCUGUCGUCCCAGCGAGGGCUCCAGUGUCUGUCUGGAUGCCACAUGAGGGUCUCAAAUCACAGACGCCCCUCCAGACUGACAUUCCACCAUGACGACUACGCAGCC